This 301-nucleotide ribosomal RNA is filed under the name uncultured bacterium. Its description in RNAcentral is "partial 16S ribosomal RNA". It matches the Rfam family "Bacterial small subunit ribosomal RNA", at positions 509 to 807 of the family's 1533-position model. The record is from RNAcentral.
CAGCAGCCACGGGAAUACGAAGGGGGCUAGCGUUGCUCGGAAUGACUGGGCGUAAAGGGCGCGUAGGCGGUUCACGCAGUCAGAUGUGAAAUUCCUGGGCUUAACCUGGGGGCUGCAUUUGAGACGCGUGGGCUUGAGUGUGAAAGAGGGUCGUGGAAUUCCCAGUGUAGAGGUGAAAUUCGUAGAUAUUGGGAAGAACACCGGUGGCGAAGGCGGCGACCUGGUUCACAACUGACGCUGAGGCGCGAAAGCGUGGGGAGCAAACAGGAUUAGAUACCCGAGUAGUCCCUGUCUCUUAUAC